AAUCAGAGGCUGGGUGUGGGAAGUUCGGAUUCUGGGCGGCUCAGGUGUAGGCGGCACUGCUCUGAGGCGGCGGUGGCAGCGUCUCUCCAGACAGGGAGCGUUCCUUUCCUUUUGGUUUGACUGAGGUUUCACGCGACAGGCUGCCUGAGGAAGGCGGGUGCUGGGAGCUGGAGGAAGGGCGCUGGCUCGCCUCCUCCUAGAAGGAUGGCUGCAUCACAUUUUGCCAGUUAACUGAGAAAGGAUUUAAGUAUUGAGAUGAUUAGAGCUAAAAUUGCUGAGGAGAGAUUUCUCUCUCAGAAAGCAGACAGAUAUGAUAAAUAUGAACGAAAAAGACACUCUGGUUUGACGGAUGUCAACCUUCCAACCUUGGAAGGUAGAAAUCUUGAAUCAGAGGAGACAUCUCAAGAGCCUAUUCCAGAAGAGAUGAGUGUGAGGCAAAGACCAGUGAAAUAUGCAGCCCAAGGGCCUUCUUUACAGGGAGACGAGCUUUACACUGAGUGACAUGAGAAGCCAUUGUUGGAUUCGUGUGUUUAUAAUCUGCUUUAUGUUUUAAAGCAUCACUUAUGGAUGGUAGGGUGACCAGCAUGGCCUCCAGGAGACCAGCUAGGAGACAACUGCAAUAAUUUAGCUCAUGGCUGACCACAGUGGGAACGGCAACCCUGGGUGGUUUCAUUCUGGAUAUAUUUUGAAGUUU
RNAcentral lists this long non-coding RNA (694 nucleotides) under Equus asinus (donkey). Its description in RNAcentral is "lncRNA (ENSEASG00005027369.1)". The record is from RNAcentral. Lineage: Eukaryota; Metazoa; Chordata; Mammalia; Perissodactyla; Equidae.